This 429-nucleotide ribosomal RNA is filed under the name Bacteroidota bacterium. RNAcentral describes it as "Bacteroidetes bacterium partial 16S ribosomal RNA". It matches the Rfam family "Bacterial small subunit ribosomal RNA", at positions 355 to 776 of the family's 1533-position model. Lineage: Bacteria; Pseudomonadati; Bacteroidota. The record is from RNAcentral.
UAGGGUAUCUUCCGCAAUGGACGCAAGUCUGACGGAGCAACGCCGCGUGAGUGAAGAAGGAUUUCGGUUCGUAAAACUCUGUUGUUAGAGAAGAACAGCGCAUAGAGUAACUGUUAUGCGUGUGACGGUAUCUAACCAGAAAGCCACGGCUAACUACGUGCCAGCAGCCGCGGUAAUACGUAGGUGGCAAGCGUUGUCCGGAUUUAUUGGGCGUAAAGCGAGCGCAGGCGGUCAAUUAAGUCUGAUGUGAAAGCCCCCGGCUCAACCGGGGAGGGUCAUUGGAAACUGGUUGACUUGAGUGCAGAAGAGGAGAGUGGAAUUCCAUGUGUAGCGGUGAAAUGCGUAGAUAUAUGGAGGAACACCAGUGGCGAAGGCGACUCUCUGGUCUGUAACUGACGCUGAGGCUCGAAAGCGUGGGUAGCAAACAGG